CUCCGUCUCUCUCUCCGUUACUUAUAGUACUCCUGUCUGCGUCUCUCUCUCUCUGUUACUUAUAGUACUCCUGUCUCCGUCUCUCUCUCUCUCUGUUACUGAGAGUACUCCUGUCUGCGUCUCUCUCUGUUACUGAGAGUACUCCUGACUCUCUCUCGGUUACUUAUAGUACUCCUGUCUGUGUCUCUCUCUCUCUCUCGGUUACUUAUAGUACUCCUGUCUGCAUCUCUCGGUUACUUAUAG
This is a non-coding RNA of Pelobates cultripes (western spadefoot toad), 243 nucleotides long. The record is from the annotation of a GenBank genome assembly. Lineage: Eukaryota; Metazoa; Chordata; Amphibia; Anura; Pelobatidae.